AAGGGAGACCUAAUUCGGGUAUAAGACGAAAAAAGAGUAGUCGAAACCAAGAAUCAAUCCCAAAAGGUCGGAACGAGGUAUGUGGCUUUCAAACUAGGUUCUGGGUUCACACAAGACCUGAAUCAGGAACAAGGGCUAUUAGCUCAGGUGGUUAGAGCGCACCCCUGAUAAGGGUGAGGUCCCUGGUUCGAGUCCAGGAUGGCCCACCUGCACAGGUGGCAAAAACAAAGAAGCGAGGAAUCAGCACCUUAUCUUAUCUAUAUAUAAGAGAGAAUGCUGGCUCUGAGUAAAGAGUCCAGAGGAGCCUUGAAAACUGCAUAGAGCUAGGUGAAAAAGCCAAAAAAGAAGACCGCAA
RNAcentral lists this transfer RNA (355 nucleotides) under uncultured Microcystis sp. Its description in RNAcentral is "partial 16S-23S ribosomal RNA intergenic spacer". The stretch from base 133 to 206 matches the Rfam family "tRNA". Lineage: Bacteria; Bacillati; Cyanobacteriota; Cyanophyceae; Chroococcales; Microcystaceae. The record is from RNAcentral.